Molecule: ribosomal RNA, 327 nt
Filed under: uncultured eukaryote
Lineage: Eukaryota
Description: partial 18S ribosomal RNA
Rfam family: Eukaryotic small subunit ribosomal RNA
Source: RNAcentral
CCCUUAGAUGUUCUGGGCCGCACGCGCGCUACACUGACGAAUGCAACGAGCUUAUAACCUUGGCCGAAAGGUCUGGGUAAUCUCCAAAUUUCGUCGUGAUGGGGAUAGAUUAUUGCAAUUAUUAAUCUUCAACGAGGAAUGCCUAGUAAGCGCAAGUCAUCAGCUUGCGUUGAUUACGUCCCUGCCCUUUGUACACACCGCCCUUCGCUCCUACCGAUUGAAUGGUCCGGUGAAGCGUUCGGACCGUGGCCUUUGGACGGUUCGCCGUCUGUUGGCUGCGGGAAGUUCGUUAAACCUUAUCAUUUAGAGGAAGGAGAAGUCGUAACA